CACCCUGGCAGUCGUCCAUUGCACCUGGAGGAGCCCGUGGGUGCCCAGCACGUCCUCAGUGGGUUCCCGAGGACAGAGGCCAAGGCCGGGAGGGAGUGGGCCAGGUGCCGCCGCGAGGCUGGACAGGGCGUGCGUGCCUGCUGAGCUCCGCAGGUGCCAUCUUGGAGAGCGAGGGGCGAGAAGCCUUCAACAACCCGCCGUGACCCCAAAGAGGGCGCGAUUUCCCGGAAGUUCCAUCCUACUCCGGGAUUGUGUCUUAGAACCGGAAGGAAAGGAGUCACCUUAAUCGACAGCUGUACUUCCGAACUCCCCUGAGAGUGGGGGCUUCAGCGCCACAUUACGCCAAUUAUAUGGAAAAGGAAGGAGCCACAUUUUCACUAAGCAGUUACAUCCAGCAAAAAAGUGAAUUCUCUCGUAUGUUUUUGUAACGUGGCUUCUUGGAAAUAGGAGUUUUGUUUGGACCUGUUAGUGGAUGUCACUUUGAUCCUGAUUUGGAGAAUCAAUCAAGAGGACUUUCUGGAGUAGCCUGUUGUGAAAUGAAGAACCUAAUAGGAAAAGGAGUAUUUAAAGCAGUUCUUGAAAGGAUGAAUGGCUUAGUGAACCAACUUUCUCAAUAAGGAAAAAUCACAAUAAGUGUGAGACGAGCACUGUGGAAAGAGGCUUUAUAAGAAGUCCAACCAGAGAAGAGGCGGAGGAGAGGCGUCAUGAUAUAGUGGCUUAAGUACUGCAACUGAAGCUGAGAAACUGGGAUUCUGCCAAUGACUGUUUGUGUUACUAUAUUAGUCAGGGUUCUCUGAUUCUGGGAAACAGAAUUAAUAGGAUAUAUAUACAUAUAUCUAGAAAGAUAUGUAUUAUAAGGUAUUGGCUUACAUGAUUAUGGUGGAUGAGAAGUCCCACGAUUUGCCAUCUGCAAGCAGGACAUCCAGGGAAGCCAGUGGUGUAGUAGAAGGCCUCAGAGCUGGAGAGCUGAUGGUGUAGAUUCCAGUCCGAGUCAGAAAGCUUGAGAACCAGGAGCACUGAGGGCAGGAGAAGAUCCAUGUCCUAGCUCAGCAGUCAGGCACAGAGCAAAUUCAACCUUCCUCUGCAUUUUGCUCUAAUCAGACCACCAGCAUUGGAGAGGGCCAUCUGCUUUACUCAGUCCACCAGUUCAAAUGCUAAUCUCUUUUCUAGAAACGUCCUGACAGACAUAUUCAGAAAUAAUGUUUAACUAGCUGUCUGGGCAUCCCAUGGCUCAGUCAAGUUGACACAUAAAAUUAACCAUCACAGUUACCUUAGAAAAGUCAUUUAAAUUCUCUAAGCUUUCGGUUCCUUGUCUGUAAUAAAAGGCUAUUGCUCCUUAUCACCUUGAAAACUUGGUUCCUGAUUAAUUCUGCCUGGCUAGUAUAUAAACAAAGAAUAACAUUUAUUUGUCUAAUUUCAAAAGUACAUGCUCAAUGCAGAAAAUCUGCAAAACCAAGAAAAACACCACAUCUUGCUCCCUUUGCUUUCAUCUGUACCCUUCAGAGGUAAUCAUUGUCAAUAUUUUGGUGUAUACUCUUCAGAUUAUAUUCUGAGUAUAACUAUACUUUUACACUUAAAUGACUUCUCAAUUGACGAUUACAUUAAAAAAAUCUGUUAAUUUGAGAAAAUUGUGGGUAUUGAACAAUUUUCCUUCCUAGGUAUUACAUAUAUUUAAAUUACAAUCUAUGGGAAAUAAUGAUACAUUCUUUAAUGGCUGACUUUCCAAAAAAUGAGUCUAAUGUUGGAGUUUCUUAACAGAUCAAUGGGUGGCAGUUGCCAUAGGAAGGAAUGUUUUUGGGAAGGAGGUUCUUGGGAGAAGGCCACUUACCCAGCCACAAGUGGGGACUUCCUUGAUAGGGUUAGAUUGCAGUAUGCUCACCAAAGGAUAGAAAAGCUCCACUAGAUGGUAGCAUUGCCGUGUGGCCCAACAAGGCAAGCUGCAAGAAACUGGCUGAAGAUUAUGUGAAUAUUGAAGACAGAAGUUUGGACAUGAAUACCAAAACUGCUGAGGGCCAACCAGUGUGACUUUUGACUUGUCCUGCUUGAGAGCCAGCUGAGGGCUUGUCUGGAGGACUGUCACAUCUAUCACACAUAUGCUUUAAGAUGAAUUUGUA
Molecule: long non-coding RNA, 2114 nt
Organism: Equus caballus (horse)
Lineage: Eukaryota; Metazoa; Chordata; Mammalia; Perissodactyla; Equidae
Source: Ensembl